Molecule: ribosomal RNA, 396 nt
Filed under: uncultured bacterium
Lineage: Bacteria
Description: partial 16S ribosomal RNA
Rfam family: Bacterial small subunit ribosomal RNA
Source: RNAcentral
AUACGGAGGGUCCGAGCGUUAAUCGGAAUUACUGGGCGUAAAGCGCGCGUAGGUGGUUCAGUCAGUCAGAUGUGAAAGCCCCGGGCUCAACCUGGGAACUGCACCUGAUACUGCUGAGCUAGAGUACGGUAGAGGGCAGUGGAAUUUCCGGUGUAGCGGUGAAAUGCGUAGAGAUCGGAAGGAACACCAGUGGCGAAGGCGACUGCCGGGCUUGAUCCGGACACGGAGGUGCGAAGGCGGGGGUAGCAAACAGGAUUAGAUCCCCUGGUAGCCCACGCCGUAAACGAUGUCAACUAGCCGUUGGGGGACUUGAUCCUUUAGUGGCGAAGCUAACGCGAUAAGUUGACCGCCUGGGGAGUACGGCCGCAAGGUUAAAACUCAAAUGAAUUGACGGGG